RNAcentral lists this long non-coding RNA (108 nucleotides) under Lepeophtheirus salmonis (salmon louse). RNAcentral's name for it is "uncharacterized LOC121118538". The record is from RNAcentral. Lineage: Eukaryota; Metazoa; Arthropoda; Copepoda; Siphonostomatoida; Caligidae.
GUCCAGUUCAGUUCGUUCCCAUCCAGUCUAAUCCAGACCCACUUUUCAAUCCGUGCAGAAGGUGGUCCAUUGAAGUCUGAACACGUACUUAUACAAUAAUUAAAGAAG